GCACUGCUGAGGAGUCCCAAACUAGGACGAAACAGCUGUUCAGUAC
This 46-nucleotide non-coding RNA is filed under the name Trichobilharzia regenti. Lineage: Eukaryota; Metazoa; Platyhelminthes; Trematoda; Strigeidida; Schistosomatidae. The record is from RNAcentral.